CGGGCACAGGGCAAUGUCUGUGGGCGCUCUCCCCCACCAGCUGACUUGUGAUCCUCCCUCAGACCAGCCCCUGUCUUCCACCGAAGCCGCAGAGCUCUCAGGUGGAGUAGGCUACAGCUGAAGGACGGUGACCAAGGUGUGCAGAGAAUAUCAGGCCAUGGAUGUGGGUGCUGACUUCCGCUCCUUUCUUGGGAGGUCCAAGAAGAAGUAAUUAAAAAAUCAUCAGCACUUCCCGUGGGAGGAUGGCAAAUGAGGAGUUCCAGGCAAGAGCUGACAGUAGGACCCCUCUGCUCUAUGGAAUAGCCAAGCAGAGUGCCAAAAGUAGUGAUUAGUAAGGAGAAAGCCAUCUGGCUUCUGUCCUUUAACAGCUCUCUUUCAGCAUCUCUCUUCCUACACACCACAAGAAAUCUCCCCCUGUUUUUAGCAACACUUUCUAGCCUUUCUGAAUGAUACUACAAGGCCCCAGACAGAAAUGAUGUGGAGAGUAAGGUGGAGAGAGAAAAAGGGGAGAGAGAUGAUAUAGUGCACAAGAAUCUGAGAUGCCUUCAGGCCUUAUCCUGAAAUAUUACCUCUGUGGCACGGGAUAUGGCAGCAGCCACUGAGGCAGUAAGUCCUUUAGAGAUAGGGGUAGUAAUAUGCUUGUUGAGAGAGUGGUGAUUGUUGGAGGCAGGUGUUUGCAGACUGACAGACAGGCAUUGCAAGGACAGGAUCCCAGGCUGAAACAAGUCCUUCUGCAAGUUGGUGAGAGACUCUGGAGCAGACUGUGCCGCUACUGAACUCCAGCAACGUGAAUCUGCCAGAGAGAGAAGAACUGGAAGCAAAGAACUGGAAGCUCUUUCUCUUAUACCAGGUGCAAGGAAGAGCAGCAGAGUCAGGUGCGUGGCCGACGGACAGAGAUGGGACCACACUUCCCUGCUGUGAGUGAGGAUCCAAAUCUAAAAUGAGACAGAUUCUGGGUGUCUAAUUCCAAGUGAUGAAUCAAAGAAUCUGAGCUUGCUGCCAGCGGGGCCUACACGGCAGGGAGUGAUGAGACAACCGCACAACGCCAAGGACAGCUUGCAGCUUGUUGGUGGAAGGCACAGAAACCUGACAGCUGACUUCAGGUGUUAACUCCUAAGGACACUGUGCCCUACUGUAAGCACAUAAAAAACUCCCCAAGGAUUCUAGUUCAAUGCAUUUGAUUACAAUCCACAAUUGCUCUAAAUCUAGCAUGUGACAAAACUUCUAUUUCUACUGUUCUUGGAUUAAAUAAGGAAAAUAAUGAGAAGGACUCCAGCUGUGGAAGCAUGUAAGGAAGUUACAGGAAAGACUGUUAGGCCUGGGAGGUUUUAUGAAGCUCAAUACUAACAGAUUUUUCUCUGUAUAGAGCAAAGACAAGAGGGAACAU
Long non-coding RNA from Calidris pugnax (ruff), 1387 nucleotides. RefSeq lists it as uncharacterized. NCBI's taxonomy places the organism in Eukaryota, Metazoa, Chordata, Aves, Charadriiformes, Scolopacidae. The record is from RefSeq and is a predicted model, not a curated record. The transcript has 5 exons.